This 72-nucleotide transfer RNA is filed under the name Stegodyphus mimosarum. It matches the Rfam family "tRNA". Rfam says of the family: Transfer RNA (tRNA) molecules are approximately 80 nucleotides in length. Their secondary structure includes four short double-helical elements and three loops (D, anti-codon, and T loops). Lineage: Eukaryota; Metazoa; Arthropoda; Arachnida; Araneae; Eresidae. The record is from Rfam by way of RNAcentral.
GCCUUCGUGGUGUAAUUGGAAACACACUCGGCCCGUAUUCGUGAGGUUCGGGUUCGAGUCCCAGCGAAGGCA